GGUGGAGUCCGUCGCGGCGAGGAGCGCGCCGAUUCUCAGGGGACUUUGCCGCCUGCCGGAGGCGCCCUUGCUGCGGGGUCGCCCCGGGUCAUUCGGCCGCGGUCCUGCCCAGCUGGGCCGCCAGUAGUCCCCGCUUCCGGCGCGGCGGGAUGCGUGGCGCGACCGCUUAGUCCCUCGGAGGGGAGGACGCGCUGCCGUUCACCGGUGGACGGCGGGCGACUCCCCGAGCCGACGACCCCGACAGCGACGGGAGCGACGCGCGGCUUUCUGACGGAAAUAUUACAACUCCACUGAUGAGAAAACUCACUUCGCUUUCAGUCAAAACCAGAAAUUAGAUAACAGAAAUGCCACACUGUCAACACCGACCGGGAGGAAAGCCUCGCUGCCGGAGACCGCUCAAGGGAGCCCUCCGCGUGUUCUCCCAGCCCGGGUCGCAGGUGGAGGGGGCCUCCUGCAGGGACGGUUCUCCCGCAGACACUCAAACUCCGGGAUGUAAAACCCGUUAAUAAUUGUCAGGGGUCUGUUAAUUGCCAAAUACAGUUUUUGAAAGUUGUAUGCACUAGGUAAAAUAAUUUAUGUAAUGUUUGGAAGUAUGUGAAAGACAG
This 605-nucleotide long non-coding RNA is filed under the name Pan troglodytes (chimpanzee). RNAcentral describes it as "long non-coding RNA NONPTRT009405". Lineage: Eukaryota; Metazoa; Chordata; Mammalia; Primates; Hominidae. The record is from RNAcentral.